AGAAGAAAAAAACACGACAAGCUUCGUACAUUGUACAAGUUGACCGAAACAACAUCACCGGAAUUAGUUACAACUUUCAAAGAAGUCAUUUAUGAUUUAAAGAUUUGUGAAUGGAAAUCAAUAACAUCGGAAUGAAAAAGGACUACGGGGUAACGGAUGACACUCUGAGAUUGAGAACCCAAAAGGUACAUGCUGUGCAAGAAAGAUGUAAACAUGUGAAUUCCUAAAUGUACUAAAUAUUAAAACAUCAACUGCAAUCUUCAGUGGUGACAUCCAAAAGUUGAUAUGCCAUUGGUACUUCAAGUGAUACGACCGUGACAUUGGAAAAUCCUUUUAACUUAUCAUCACUUGAGCUUGAAUUGCAAUCCUUUUGAUACAGACAUUUUCUUAAGUUCAGUUUCGAACAUUAAUGCCGCUGUGUCAUCUCUGGAAAUGGAAAAGCCUACCACAGAAUCUGAUGAAUUUUUGAACAUUCUUUCACAAAAAGGGAUCUUCUUUAUUUUGAAGAAGGUAGCCCAGGAACUGGAAAUCUUUUAUCAAAAUGAUCUUAAUAAUACACUGGACAAUAUUCUAACCUAAAAAAACCCAUGACAAACCCGAUUGAACUCCUGUGAUGAAGCAUCUCAAAACUCAAAUUAUGGUAGUCUUUCAAGUGACAUUGAGGAUUUCAAUAGCGCAUUUGACAGUAAAGUGAUUUUUAUUCAAGUUCAGAUUGUUGUCAUUAUAAAUUUAUAAGAAGUGUUCUCAUAGCCAACAUUUUUCAAGUCUACUUUUGAUGAAAUAUAGUCUUUUCUAUUACAACUUAUUAUGACAUGAUUGUUGUUGUAUACAUAAAUGUUCUUAUCCACGAAUCAUUCACUGUUCUUAUAGGUUUUUUUUAGCCUGAACUAUGUAGCAAUGACAUGUCAAGGUAAUCCAGAAAAUGUAAAAUCUUUUCUUUGAUAUGACAAGGAUUUAAUUUUGUAACAAUUAAUAUCUAAAAGUCCUGUAACCCUCAUUAAAGUCCUUUAUAAUCUGA
Molecule: long non-coding RNA, 1018 nt
Organism: Ostrea edulis (European flat oyster)
Lineage: Eukaryota; Metazoa; Mollusca; Bivalvia; Ostreida; Ostreidae
Exons: 2
Source: RefSeq, a predicted model, not a curated record